RNAcentral lists this ribosomal RNA (152 nucleotides) under Lentilactobacillus buchneri. Its description in RNAcentral is "Lactobacillus buchneri partial 16S ribosomal RNA". It matches the Rfam family "Bacterial small subunit ribosomal RNA", at positions 1390 to 1533 of the family's 1533-position model. The record is from RNAcentral. Lineage: Bacteria; Bacillati; Bacillota; Bacilli; Lactobacillales; Lactobacillaceae.
CCGCCCGUCACACCAUGAGAGUUUGUAACACCCAAAGCCGGUGAGGUAACCUUCGGGGACCAGCCGUCUAAGGUGGGACAGAUGAUUAGGGUGAAGUCGUAACAAGGUAGCCGUAGGAGAACCUGCGGCUGGAUCACCUCCUUUCUAAGGAA